Molecule: ribosomal RNA, 570 nt
Filed under: uncultured fungus
Lineage: Eukaryota; Fungi
Description: eukaryotic LSU rRNA
Rfam family: 5.8S ribosomal RNA (bases 208-361)
Source: RNAcentral
CGUAACANGGUCUCCGUANGUGAACCUGCGGAGGGAUCAUUACACAAAUAUGAAGGCGGGCUGGAACCUCUCGGGGUUGCAGCCUUGCUGAAUUAUUCACCCUUGUCUUUUGCGUACUUCUUGUUUCCUUGGUGGGUUCGCCCACCACUAGGACAAACAUAAACCUUUUGUAAUUGCAAUCAGCGUCAGUAACAAAUUAAUAAUUACAACUUUCAACAACGGAUCUCUUGGUUCUGGCAUCGAUGAAGAACGCAGCGAAAUGCGAUAAGUAGUGUGAAUUGCAGAAUUCAGUGAAUCAUCGAAUCUUUGAACGCACAUUGCGCCCUUUGGUAUUCCAAAGGGCAUGCCUGUUCGAGCGUCAUUUGUACCCUCAAGCUUUGCUUGGUGUUGGGCGUCUUGUCUCUAGCUUUGCUGGAGACUCGCCUUAAAGUAAUUGGCAGCCGGCCUACUGGUUUCGGAGCGCAGCACAAGUCGCACUCUCUAUCAGCAAAGGUCUAGCAUCCAUUAAGCCUUUUUUUCAACUUUUGACCUCNGAUCAGGUAGGGAUACCCGCUGAACUUAAGCAUAUCA